AGAACGAACGCUGGCGGCAUGCUUAACACAUGCAAGUUGAACGCAGAAUAGGACUUCGGUUCUAUUGCUGAGUAGCAAACGGGUGAGUAACGCGUGGGAAUCUGCCUUUUUGUGGGGGAUAACUGAGGGAAACUUCAGCUAAUACCGCAUAAGCUCUACGGAGGAAAGACUUCGGUCGCAAAAAGAGGAGCCCGCGUCAGAUUAGGUAGUUGGUAGGGUAAAAGCCUACCAAGCCAAUGAUCUGUAGCUGGUCUGAGAGGAUGAUCAGCCACACUGGGACUGAGACACGGCCCCAGACUCCUACGGGAGGCAGCAGUGGGGAAUAUUGGACAAUGGGGGAAACCCUGAUCCAGCAAUGCCGCGUGAAUGAAGAAGGCCUUAGGGUUGUAAGUCCUUUCGACGGGGAAGAUAAUGACGGUACCGUAGAAGAAGCCCCGGCUAACUUCGUGCCAGCAGCCGC
RNAcentral lists this ribosomal RNA (460 nucleotides) under uncultured bacterium. RNAcentral's name for it is "SSU rRNA". It matches the Rfam family "Bacterial small subunit ribosomal RNA", at positions 26 to 518 of the family's 1533-position model. The record is from RNAcentral.